This is a small nuclear RNA of Dermacentor andersoni, 184 nucleotides long. RefSeq annotates it as U2 spliceosomal RNA. Lineage: Eukaryota; Metazoa; Arthropoda; Arachnida; Ixodida; Ixodidae. The record is from RefSeq and is a predicted model, not a curated record.
AUGGCCGACACGGGUCAUAGUGUACUAUCUGUUCUGAUCAGCUUAACGUCUGAUCCGGGUUGUAUUCGCACCCAAGAUAUUAAGCUUAGUCUUGCCAGUUGGCGGAGUUUUUGAAGCCUGCUUCACCUCAACCGUGGGUCCCGUUCAGUUCACUUCAGUUUAUUACCUCAAAAGUCCAGUACAU